Molecule: non-coding RNA, 203 nt
Filed under: Thiobacillus sp.
Lineage: Bacteria; Pseudomonadati; Pseudomonadota; Betaproteobacteria; Nitrosomonadales; Thiobacillaceae
Source: RNAcentral
AUAUAAUGGCCGCCUUCAGGUGCCGACGCGGCGUUCCGCCGCCGAGGAUAAACGGGAAACAGGUGCGCGAUUCGUCGCCAGGCCUGUGCUGCCCCCGCAACGGUCAGCGCUAAACGGUGCAUCACACACGCCACUGGGUCCGCCCGGGAAGGCGAUGCACUUGAGGCGCGAGCCCGGAUACCGGCCUGAGCCCUGCCGCACGC